UGCAGUCGAGCGGGAACUUCGGUUUCCAGCGGCGGACGGGUGAGUAACACGUGGGCAACCUGCCUCACAAUGAGGGAUAGCCUUCCGAAAGGAAGAUUAAUACCUCAUAACACAAGAAAAACGCAUGUUUUUCUUGCCAAAGAAUUUCGUUGUGAGAUGGGCCCGCGGCGCAUUAGCUUGUUGGUGAGGUAACGGCUCACCAAGGCUGCGAUGCGUAGCCGACCUGAGAGGGUGAUCGGCCACAUUGGAACUGAGACACGGUCCAGACUCCUACGGGAGGCAGCAGUGGGGAAUAUUGCACAAUGGAGGAAACUCUGAUGCAGCAACGCCGCGUGAGUGAUGAAGGUCUUCGGAUUGUAAAGCUCUGUCUUCUGGGACGAUAAUGACGGUACCAGAGGAGGAAGCCACGGCUAACUACGUGCCAGCAGCCGCGGUAAUACGUAGGUGGCAAGCGUUGUCCGGAUUUACUGGGCGUAAAGGAUGUGUAGGCGGAUAUUUAAGUGAGAUGUGAAAUCCCCGGGCUUAACUUGGGGGCUGCAUUUCAAACUGGAUGUCUAGAGUGCAGGAGAGGAAAGCAGAA
Molecule: ribosomal RNA, 580 nt
Filed under: bacterium stCA-27F
Lineage: Bacteria
Description: bacterial SSU rRNA
Rfam family: Bacterial small subunit ribosomal RNA
Source: RNAcentral